GCCCGGGUGGUGGAAUAGGUAGACACAAGGGACUUAAAAUCCCUCGCCGCAAGGCGUACCGGUUCGAUUCCGGUUCCGGGCACCA
Molecule: transfer RNA, 85 nt
Filed under: Alcaligenaceae bacterium
Lineage: Bacteria; Pseudomonadati; Pseudomonadota; Betaproteobacteria; Burkholderiales; Alcaligenaceae
Description: tRNA-Leu
Rfam family: tRNA
About the family: Transfer RNA (tRNA) molecules are approximately 80 nucleotides in length.
Source: RNAcentral